This 236-nucleotide ribosomal RNA is filed under the name uncultured bacterium. Its description in RNAcentral is "partial 16S ribosomal RNA". It matches the Rfam family "Bacterial small subunit ribosomal RNA", at positions 15 to 235 of the family's 1533-position model. The record is from RNAcentral.
GAUCAUGGCUCAGGACGAACGCUGGCGGCGUGCCUAACACAUGCAAGUCGAACGGAGAAUUUUAUUUCGGUAGAAUUCUUAGUGGCGAACGGGUGAGUAACGCGUAGGCAACCUGCCCUUUAGACGGGGACAACAUUCCGAAAGGAGUGCUAAUACCGGAUGUGAUCAUCUUGCCGCAUGGCAGGAUGAAGAAAGAUGGCCUCUACAAGUAAGCUAUCGCUAAAGGAUGGGCCGNG